This 727-nucleotide ribosomal RNA is filed under the name Capronia sp. WUC 26. RNAcentral's name for it is "SSU rRNA". It matches the Rfam family "Bacterial small subunit ribosomal RNA", at positions 370 to 1205 of the family's 1533-position model. Lineage: Eukaryota; Fungi; Ascomycota; Eurotiomycetes; Chaetothyriales; Herpotrichiellaceae. The record is from RNAcentral.
AAUAGUCGAAAGGCUGAACCAGCAAUUUGGAAGAAUGAAAAACUAGAUUCUGUAUAAAAUUCUAGAUAAGAAAAAAGAGUCUGACAAUUUUUUAUCUAUAAGUCUUGACCAAAUUACGUGCCAGCAGUCGCGGUAAUACGUAGAAGACUAGUGUUAUUCAUCUUUAAUCGGUAUAAAGGGUACCUAGACAGAAUACCAAGCCAAAAUUGGAACUAGUAUUCUAGAGUUUUAUGUGGGAAUGUACGAAUUACUGGUGGAAAGAUUAAAUUUUAUUAUACUGGUAGGACGGGUGACGGCAAAGGCGAUAUUCUAUGUAAAAACUGACGUUGAGGGACGAAGCCUUGGGUAGCAAGAAGGAUUCGAUACCCUAGUAGUCCAAGGAGACAAAUAUGAGUGCCAUAGACUAGAAUAAUUUAGUUUAUAAAUGAAAGUGUAAGCAUUCCACCUCAUGACUAAGGCGGAAAUGCACAAAUUGAAAUCAUUAGACCGUUUCUGAAAUCAGUAGUGAAGUAUGUUAUUUAAUUCGAUAAUCCGCGAAUAACCUUACCACGUUUUGAAUAUUAACGCAAGUUAUUACAAGUGUUGCACGGCUGUCUUCAGUUAAUGUCGUGAGAUUUUGAUUCAUUUCUUUAAUUAACGAAAACCCUUUCUUUAUUUGUUUUUAAAGAUUUUUCCUUUAUAUGAGGUUUAAUAACGAGGGACCAAGACAAGUCAUCAUGGCCUUAAU